CGGAGGAUCCAAGCGUUAUCCGGAAUCAUUGGGUUUAAAGGGUCCGUAGGCGGUUUAGUAAGUCAGUGGUGAAAGCCCAUCGCUCAACGGUGGAACGGCCAUUGAUACUGCUAAACUUGAAUUAUUAGGAAGUAACUAGAAUAUGUAGUGUAGCGGUGAAAUGCUUAGAGAUUACAUGGAAUACCAAUUGCGAAGGCAGGUUACUACUAAUGGAUUGACGCUGAUGGACGAAAGCGUGGGUAGCGAACAGGAUUAGAUACCCUGGUAGUCCACGCCGUAAACGAUGGAUACUAGCUGUUGGGGGCAACUUCAGUGGCUAAGCGAAAGUGAUAAGUAUCCCACCUGGGGAGUACGGGCGCAAGCCUG
Molecule: ribosomal RNA, 366 nt
Filed under: uncultured organism
Description: bacterial SSU rRNA
Rfam family: Bacterial small subunit ribosomal RNA
Source: RNAcentral